AAUAUCCUGAUUCUAACUGGCCAGUCCUAGACCAUGCGCCCACAUGAACUGAGAAUGAGAGAGGGAUGUUCCCCCAACAGCAAACUGGAUACAAAAGAAGAGGGAAGGGAUGCAGGCCAGGCAGAGGCAACUGACGUCCACCAGCAUUCCGCUUCCCCAUGUGACAAACGAGGAAGCCAAGGCUCAGAGAGGAGGCUACAUCUGCCUCUGGAUGAGAACCAGAACACCACGCUGACCGAGCCUGGCGCUCUUCUGUGGACUCAGGGCCUGACACAGAGAAAGCACUUAAUAAGUGUUUGAUGAAUGAACAAAUGAAACAUUCUGGAGUCAAAGAGGACUAGGUACGAAUCCCAGCUCUACCACUUACUAGCUGUAUGGUGUCGAGCAAGUCACUUAACCCUUCUGUGCCUCAGUUUCCACAUCUGUAAGAUGGGGAGAACACCAGCACCAUCUUCAGAGGGUUGUUAUAAGGAUUCAACAAGUUAAUUCUUAUAAAAUGCUUAGGACAUUGCCCGAGGCUUAAUGAGCUCUAUAUCACUGUUUCUUAAAUAAAUGAGCUAAUAAAUGAA
Orcinus orca (killer whale) is the source of this 569-nucleotide long non-coding RNA. RefSeq lists it as uncharacterized. The record is from RefSeq and is a predicted model, not a curated record. Lineage: Eukaryota; Metazoa; Chordata; Mammalia; Artiodactyla; Delphinidae. The transcript is spliced from 2 exons.